RNAcentral lists this ribosomal RNA (553 nucleotides) under Salmonella enterica subsp. enterica serovar Infantis. Its description in RNAcentral is "bacterial SSU rRNA". It matches the Rfam family "Bacterial small subunit ribosomal RNA", at positions 962 to 1515 of the family's 1533-position model. The record is from RNAcentral. RNAcentral also lists the same sequence under 1 other name. Lineage: Bacteria; Pseudomonadati; Pseudomonadota; Gammaproteobacteria; Enterobacterales; Enterobacteriaceae.
CGAAGAACCUUACCUGGUCUUGACAUCCACAGAAGAAUCCAGAGAUGGAUUUGUGCCUUCGGGAACUGUGAGACAGGUGCUGCAUGGCUGUCGUCAGCUCGUGUUGUGAAAUGUUGGGUUAAGUCCCGCAACGAGCGCAACCCUUAUCCUUUGUUGCCAGCGGUCCGGCCGGGAACUCAAAGGAGACUGCCAGUGAUAAACUGGAGGAAGGUGGGGAUGACGUCAAGUCAUCAUGGCCCUUACGACCAGGGCUACACACGUGCUACAAUGGCGCAUACAAAGAGAAGCGACCUCGCGAGAGCAAGCGGACCUCAUAAAGUGCGUCGUAGUCCGGAUUGGAGUCUGCAACUCGACUCCAUGAAGUCGGAAUCGCUAGUAAUCGUGGAUCAGAAUGCCACGGUGAAUACGUUCCCGGGCCUUGUACACACCGCCCGUCACACCAUGGGAGUGGGUUGCAAAAGAAGUAGGUAGCUUAACCUUCGGGAGGGCGCUUACCACUUUGUGAUUCAUGACUGGGGUGAAGUCGUAACAAGGUAACCGUAGGGGAACCUGC